AUUGAACGCUGGCGGCAUGCUUUACACAUGCAAGUCGAACGGCAGCGCGGGCUUCGGCCUGGCGGCGAGUGGCGAACGGGUGAGUAAUACAUCGGAACGUGCCCAGUAGUGGGGGAUAGCUCGGCGAAAGCCGGAUUAAUACCGCAUACGACCUGAGGGUGAAAGCGGGGGAUCUUCGGACCUCGCGCUAUUGGAGCGGCCGAUGGCAGAUUAGCUAGUUGGUGGGGUAAAGGCCUACCAAGGCGACGAUCUGUAGCUGGUCUGAGACGACGACCAGCCACACUGGGACUGAGACACGGCCCAGACUCCUACGGGAGGCAGCAGUGGGGAAUUUUGGACAAUGGGCGAAAGCCUGAUCCAGCAAUGCCGCGUGUGUGAUGAAGGCCUUCGGGUUGUAAAGCACUUUUGGCGGGAACGAAAAGGACUGUGCCAAUACCACGGUUCGAUGACGGUACCCGCAGAAUAAGCACCGGCUAACUACGUG
RNAcentral lists this ribosomal RNA (484 nucleotides) under uncultured bacterium. RNAcentral describes it as "partial 16S ribosomal RNA". It matches the Rfam family "Bacterial small subunit ribosomal RNA", at positions 29 to 507 of the family's 1533-position model. The record is from RNAcentral.